Molecule: small nucleolar RNA, 140 nt
Organism: Acomys russatus (golden spiny mouse)
Lineage: Eukaryota; Metazoa; Chordata; Mammalia; Rodentia; Muridae
Product: small nucleolar RNA SNORA48
Exons: 1
Source: RefSeq, a predicted model, not a curated record
ACCCCUAGGAAUGGGCAAAGAGAUACCUUGUUCAUGGUGUUCUUAUAUCAGUCCAGGGCAGAGCAGACAGCUGUCCUUUGUUCAUCAUAGCUCGAUGACUGGCUUGCUGGCCAAAGUUGUCUUAUGCCUAGGACUCAUAA